GGGGAGGGGCGGCCUACACAUGCAAGUCGAGCGGUAGCACAGAGAGCUUGCUCUCGGGUGACGAGCGGCGGACGGUUGAGUAAUGUCUGGGAAACUGCCUGAUGGAGGGGGAUAACUACUGGAAACGGUAGCUAAUACCGCAUAACGUCGCAAGACCAAAGUGGGGGACCUUCGGGCCUCAUGCCAUCAGAUGUGCCCAGAUGGGAUUAGCUAGUAGGUGGGGUAACGGCUCACCUAGGCGACGAUCCCUAGCUGGUCUGAGAGGAUGACCAGCCACACUGGAACUGAGACACGGUCCAGACUCCUACGGGAGGCAGCAGUGGGGAAUAUUGCACAAUGGGCGCAAGCCUGAUGCAGCCAUGCCGCGUGUAUGAAGAAGGUCUUCGGGUUGUAAAGUACUUUCAGCGGGGAGGAAGGCGAUAAGGUUGUUUUUCAUGCC
Molecule: ribosomal RNA, 439 nt
Filed under: Klebsiella quasipneumoniae
Lineage: Bacteria; Pseudomonadati; Pseudomonadota; Gammaproteobacteria; Enterobacterales; Enterobacteriaceae
Description: bacterial SSU rRNA
Rfam family: Bacterial small subunit ribosomal RNA
Source: RNAcentral